AGCGAACGCUGGCGGCAGGCCUAACACAUGCAAGUCGAACGAACCUUUCGGGGUUAGUGGCGGACGGGUGAGUAACACGUGGGAACGUGCCUUUAGGUUCGGAAUAACUCAGGGAAACUUGUGCUAAUACCGAAUGUGCCCUUCGGGGGAAAGAUUUAUCGCCUUUAGAGCGGCCCGCGUCUGAUUAGCUAGUUGGUUGAGGUAAUGGCUCACCAAGGCGACGAUCAGUAGCUGGUCUGAGAGGAUGAUCAGCCACAUUGGGACUGAGACACGGCCCAAACUUCUACGGGAGGCAGCAGUGGGGAAUCUUGCGCAAUGGGCGAAAGCCUGACGCAGCCAUGCCGCGUGAAUGAUGAAGGUCUUAGGAUUGUAAAAUUCUUUCACCGGGGACGAUAAUGACGGUACCCGGAGAAGAAGCCCCGGCUAACUUCGUG
This 434-nucleotide ribosomal RNA is filed under the name uncultured bacterium. RNAcentral's name for it is "partial 16S ribosomal RNA". It matches the Rfam family "Bacterial small subunit ribosomal RNA", at positions 29 to 507 of the family's 1533-position model. The record is from RNAcentral.